RNAcentral lists this ribosomal RNA (301 nucleotides) under uncultured bacterium. Its description in RNAcentral is "partial 16S ribosomal RNA". It matches the Rfam family "Bacterial small subunit ribosomal RNA", at positions 509 to 808 of the family's 1533-position model. The record is from RNAcentral.
CAGUAGCGCGGGAAUACGGAGGGUGCAAGCGUUAUCCGGAUUUAUUGGGUUUAAAGGGUCCGUAGGCGGAUUUGUAAGUCAGUGGUGAAAUCUCACAGCUUAACUGUGAAACUGCCAUUGAUACUGCAGGUCUUGAGUAAAUUUGAAGUGGCUGGAAUAAGUAGUGUAGCGGUGAAAUGCAUAGAUAUUACUUAGAACACCAAUUGCGAAGGCAGGUCACUAAGAUUUAACUGACGCUGAUGGACGAAAGCGUGGGGAGCGAACAGGAUUAGAGACCCCAGUAGUCCCUGUCUCUUAUACA